CCUACGGGUGGCAGCAGUGGGGAAUAUUGCACAAUGGGGGAAACCCUGAUGCAGCGACGCCGCGUGAGUGAAGAAGUAUUUCGGUAUGUAAAGCUCUAUCAGCGGGGAAGAAGAAAGAGGGUACUUGCCUAGGAAGCCCCGGCGAACUACGUGCCAGCCGCCGCGGUAAAACGGAGGGGGCAAGCGUUAUCCGGAUUUAUUGGGUGUAAGGGGAGGGUAGACGGCUGUGCAAGUCUGAAGUGAAAGCCCAGGGCUCAACCCUGGGACUGCUUUGGAAACUGUGGAGCUAGAGUGCUGGAGAGGUAAGUGGAAUGCCUAGUGUAGCGGUGAAAUGCGUAGAUAUUAGGAGGAACACCAGUGGCGAAGGCGGCUUACUGGACAGUAACUGACGUUGAGGCUCGAAAGCGUGGGGAGCAAACAGGAUUAGAUACCCCUGUAGUC
Molecule: ribosomal RNA, 441 nt
Filed under: uncultured bacterium
Lineage: Bacteria
Description: partial 16S ribosomal RNA
Rfam family: Bacterial small subunit ribosomal RNA
Source: RNAcentral